RNAcentral lists this telomerase RNA (433 nucleotides) under Microcebus murinus (gray mouse lemur). RNAcentral's name for it is "Vertebrate telomerase RNA (ENSMICG00000027331.2)". It matches the Rfam family "Vertebrate telomerase RNA". From Rfam's summary of the family: Telomerase is a ribonucleoprotein reverse transcriptase that synthesises telomeric DNA. Telomerase RNAs differ greatly in sequence and structure between vertebrates, ciliates and yeasts, but they share a 5' pseudoknot structure close to the template sequence. Vertebrate telomerase RNAs have a 3' H/ACA snoRNA-like domain. Lineage: Eukaryota; Metazoa; Chordata; Mammalia; Primates; Cheirogaleidae. The record is from Rfam by way of RNAcentral.
UGGGCCCGGGAGGGGUGUCGGCCAUUAGUGCCUAACCCUAACUGAGAAGGGCGUAGGCGCCGUGCUUUUGCUUCCCGCGCGCUGUUUUUCUCGCUGACUUUCAGCGGGCGGAAAAGCCUUGGCCUACUGCCGUCCACAGUCUAGUUUGGAGCAAACAAAAAAUGUCAGCGCUGGCCGGUUCACCCCUCCCGGGACCUGCGGUGGCUCGCCCGCCCUGCCCCGAGCCCUGCCUAAAGGCCGCGGUCGACCUGGGGCUUCUCCGGAGGUGCCCAAUGUCGCCGCGAAGAGUUGGGCUCUGUCAGCCGCGGGUCCUUCGGGUGCCAAGGGCGAGGCUCAGGCCUGCUGGCCGCAGGAAAGUAACGGAGCGGGUCCCUUCACGCGGUGCGCUUCCCUGAGCAGUGGGACUUGCGCCCGGGACUCAGCUCCUACAUAC